This 332-nucleotide unclassified non-coding RNA is filed under the name soil metagenome. RNAcentral describes it as "partial contains 5.8S ribosomal RNA, internal transcribed spacer 2, and large subunit ribosomal RNA". The stretch from base 1 to 115 matches the Rfam family "5.8S ribosomal RNA", at positions 40 to 154 of the family's 154-position model. The record is from RNAcentral.
GGAACGUAGCGAAAUGCGAUAAGUAGUGUGAAUUGCAGAAUUCAGUGAAUCAUCGAAUCUUUGAACGCACAUUGCGCCCCUUGGUAUUCCAUGGGGCAUGCCUGUUCGAGCGUCAUUUGUACCCUCAAGCUUUGCUUGGUGUUGGGUGUUUGUCCCGCGUUGCGCGUGGACUCGCCUUAAAGCGAUUGGCAGCCGGCAUAUUGGCCUUGGAGCGCAGCACAUUUUGCGCUUCUAGUCAUGAAUGUUGGCGUCCAUUAAGCCUAUACAUUUGCUCUUGACCUCGGAUCAGGUAGGGAUACCCGCUGAACUUAAGCAUAUCAAUAAGCGGAGGA